GAUGAACGCUGGCGGCGCGCUUAACACAUGCAAGUCGAGCGAGAACCAGGCCUUCGGGCCUGGGGACAGCGGCGAACGGGUGAGUAACACGUGGGUAAUCAACCCUCGAUACUGGGAUAGCCCGGGGAAACCCGGAUUAAUACCGGAUGGCCCUUUGGAUCCUCGGAUCUGAAGGAAAAGGUAGCUUCGGCCUCCGAUCGAGGACGAGCCCGCGGCGGAUUAGCUUGUUGGUGAGGUAACGGCUCACCAAGGCGACGAUCCGUAGCUGGUCUGAGAGGACGAUCAGCCACACUGGGACUGAGACACGGCCCAGACUCCUACGGGAGGCAGCAGUGGGGAAUCUUGCGCUAAUGCGGGAAACCGUGACGCAGCGACGCCGCGUGAGGGAAGAAGGCCUUCGGGUUGUAAACCUCUGUCUUCAGGGACGAAAUCAAUGACGGUACCUGAGGAGGAAGCC
This 457-nucleotide ribosomal RNA is filed under the name uncultured bacterium. RNAcentral's name for it is "bacterial SSU rRNA". It matches the Rfam family "Bacterial small subunit ribosomal RNA", at positions 28 to 492 of the family's 1533-position model. The record is from RNAcentral.